GCGGCGGACGGGUGAGUAUCGCGUGGGAAUUUACCAUAGAGUGGGGGACAGCUGCUGGAAACGGCAGCUAAUACCGCAUACGCCCUAAGGGGGAAAGGCUUCGGCCGCUCAAUGAGAAGCCCGCGUACGAUUAGUUUGUUGGUGGGGUAAUGGCCUACCAAGACUACGAUCGUUAGCUGGUCUGAGAGGACGAUCAGCCACACUGGGACUGAGACACGGCCCAGACUCCUACGGGAGGCAGCAGUGGGGAAUAUUGGACAAUGGGCGAACGCCUGAUCCAGCGAUGCCGCGUGAGUGAAGAAGGCCUUAGGGUUGUAAAGCUCUUUCGGUGGGGAAGAUAAUGACGGUACCCACAAAAGAAGCCCCGGCUAACUCCGUGCCAGCAGCCGCGGUAAUACGGAGGGGGCUAGCGUUACUCGGAAUUACUGGGCGUAAAGCGAGCGUAGGCGGUUUAAUAAGUUGAGGGUGAAAGCCCGGGGCUCAACCCCGGAAAUGCCCUCAAAACUAUUUGACUAGAGGACGGGAGAGGGGAGUGGAACUCCCAGUGUAGAGGUGAAAUUCGUAGAUAUUGGGAAGAACACCAGUGGCGAAGGCGACUCUCUGGACCGUUUCUGACGCUAAGGCUCGGAAGCGUGGGUAGCAAACAGGAUUAGAUACCCUGGUAGUCCACGCCGUAAACGAUGAUUGCUAGACGUUGGGGA
RNAcentral lists this ribosomal RNA (701 nucleotides) under uncultured bacterium. Its description in RNAcentral is "bacterial SSU rRNA". It matches the Rfam family "Bacterial small subunit ribosomal RNA", at positions 95 to 829 of the family's 1533-position model. The record is from RNAcentral.